Long non-coding RNA from Grus americana (Whooping crane), 2839 nucleotides. RefSeq lists it as uncharacterized. The record is from RefSeq and is a predicted model, not a curated record. The transcript is spliced from 4 exons. Lineage: Eukaryota; Metazoa; Chordata; Aves; Gruiformes; Gruidae.
CGAGAGCGCCCGUCGGCCGUGGGAAAAUCUCCCGUCCCUGCGUCUCGGCGGGGGGUGACGGGGCCGUAUAAACCCGCCGGCACGUCCCGGGCUGGGAGCUGCGGCAGGGAGAAGCCAGGCGAUUCCCUGGCCCUUUGCUGAAACGUAAGAAGCAGAAGAGGGUUUUCAAGCUGCAAAAAUGAAAAAAAAGCCUAUUUUUUUUCCCCAGGGCAGCGGACCCUGCGGGGCCGGCCGGAGGAGGCAGCGGCGGGCGCCGGCUCCGGAGGAUGCGGGGAAGGAGCCACGGUUUGGGGAUCUCCCCGGCCACGCACCGGGGGCAGCCUGAGCAACCCUACCUGCGGCCAGCCAUCUCCCAUCCCCAUCUAGGCCAAGUUUGACCAGAGGAGAGGUCAAGCAUCCUAGAACCUGCCAGAAACACAAGAAAACACGCUGGAAACAGUGAACUUUGUUGCAGUAUGAAAAUCAAAUGCAAAGCUCGGUGGGUAUUUUUAGCUGUUUAAGGCUGAACAGGUGUUUGAAAGGUCAGAUGCGAGUCAUUGGAAAAAAAAUAUGUAUUGCUCUUGAGAGCCUGGCAGCAUGGCCUUGGUGCUCCCAUGGCACUGGAUGGUCGCAGCGUGGCAGCCGUUGGCCGUUUGGCUCUGCCGAUCGUUCGGCCCACGUCCGAUGGGUGCUUUGGCUCGCGUGCCCCCCCCCCCAAACCCACCCCCCAAGUGCAACACACAACGUUAGCACCCAACCGGGCAUCUCAGCGUUGGCUCGGUUGCUCGUCGGUCCUGAUGCGGGCAGGGGUCAAGGGACGUGGAAAGGUCCUGGGGUGGUUUGGAGCUGGUCUGGCCUGGUUGAGGUCUUGUGUGUCCUGGCCAGCGCGUGCACAGGGCCGGCAGGGGUGUUUGGGGAGGGGGGUGAGCGUAGAGAGGCUUCCUUCUGCUGGAUGUGGGGCUCGGGGGGGGGGUGUGAGGCUUUCAGAUGGCUUUUUCCGUGAGAAAUUUUUUUUUCUUUUUUCCUUUUCAAGGAAUAAAGGAAGUCUGUCAUCCUUAAAACAAAAUUGCAUGUGGUUUUAAUUAGCAAAAAUGUAAGACCACAGAAAGAAAGGGCCUGUCUCUUGAGGAGGACCCAGAUGACAUGUCUGUGGUGAGCCUGGGUUGUGACCACCUUGGACUUGGCCAUGACCAACCUGAACCUGGCCAUGACCAACCUGGGCCAUGACCACCUUUGACUUGGCCAUGACCAACCUGAACCUGGCCAUGACCACCUUUGACUUGGCCACGGCCACCUUUGACUUGGCCACGGCCAACCUAGACCUGGCGAUGGCCAAGCACGCGCCCAGAGGCGAGAACCGCUGCAUGUUGCCGGCGGGGCAGCAUUUCUCUUCCCUGUUGUCUCACCGAGGUCACCGGGUUCAGGCAGGUGACGAGCUCCUUCCAAUGUGAGUCACGGCAAAGGUAAAUGGAGAGGAUGAGGUGGGGCAACUUGCCUGUGCAGGCCGGUGGGCUCCCGAACGCCAACGGGAUCCAAGAGCCAUGGCGGAGCGGGGCCGGCAGCUGCCAGAGCCUCGGCUGGGCAAUAAAGCCUUUUUUUUUUUUUUUUUUUGAGUUAAAGAAGCCCCCAAAAUAGCACCUGAAACCAAUAAACUUCCCUUUCAGGAACUUCUGUAAUUUGAAACAUACAUAAGAACAAAAAAAAAAAAAAAAAAUCCAGAAUUUUUUUCAAGUUGUUUGUCAAGUAGGACCUUUGGGUUUGUUUUGAAAUACGUUUCAGCCGGUGGGUGCUGGGGUGCGGGAGCGCUCGGCACGGCGGCACCCAGGGCGGGCUGCAGCUUCCCAGGGACUUCUCCAUCUGCUUUCCCCCCCCGCCCCCAAUUUCUUCCUGCCUUUCAGCUUUUCCAGCUGACGCACAGUCCCACCGCAUUGCGUCACGCAACCCAAACCCCGGCCGCCCAGCUGAUAUUUCGGAAGAAAGUGGCUAAAAAUAUCCCACACACCCCCCCCGCGCCCGGUGCACGAGGUGGGCCAGCAGCUCGUCUCCUUUGAGCAAGAGAAAAAAAAUAAAAACAAUCAAGCCUUGAGCCCGCAACCACGCUCAACAGCUUGGUCAGCGCCUGCGGCAUCGCCGCAGACCUUCGAAAUGGGAAUUAAACGGGACGCCGGGCAAGGAGGGGGCAAAAGCAGCUCAGGUGUGAUCAUCUCCUAAAAAAAUAUUGGACGUUCCUGCAGGUGCCACCUUCCCCCCGCCGCCCCGGUGCUCUCCCUCCCUCCCAUAUCAAUCCUCUUAUUUUACUAAUCAGCCUUUAAAACAAUUUACCGGGGUCUCGCAAAAGCAGCAGGCAGGGCCCCGGUCCAAGGGGAGCGACCCGAGCCGUCCCACGCUCCUUCCUGCCACCUCCCCGCCUGCUUCAGGGACCUCCGCCAUCACCUCUUACCUCCUCCUCCUUUUAUGCCAAAAGCCGUAUUGGAGCGAUGGCAGCAGAAUAUUGUUCCGAUGCCGUCAGUUAUCUGCUGUUAGAUAAAAAGAAAAAGCAAGAGGAGCGAGGCAGGGACAGGCAGGGCUGGGAGCGUCCCCUCCCUCCUCCCCGGGGCACCCGGCCAUCAGAACAGGCAUGGGGGGCAAAGGCAGGAGGAAGGCGGGAGGGUAAUUUUUACGAGCAGAUUUUGAUCUGAUUUUAAAAUAAUUAAAAAAAAAAAUUAAUAUAAAGGAAAAAUAUGUAACUAAAAUAAUAGAACUACCAUAAAAUAAUAAAGUAAAAAAUAAUAAUACACAAAUAAUAAAAUAAUACACAAAAUAAAACCCCCACACUUCUCCAAACUUAAUACCUCUGAAAACCGCCGAGGGACAGGGAGUG